UCCUGGCUUAGAAUGAACGCUGGCGGCAUGGAUUAGGCAUGCAAGUCGAACGAGAAAGCGGUUCGGCCGCGAGUAAAGUGGCGAAAGGGUGAGUAACACGUGAGGAACCCGCCCCCCAGUCCGGAACAAUCCUGUGAAAACGGGCCUGAAACCGGAUGCCGGCCCGCCCCGCAUGGGGCGGCGCCGAAACAUUUAUGGCUGGAGGAUGGCCUCGCGCCCCAUUAGCUUGUUGGCGGGGUAACGGCCCACCAAGGCGACGACGGGUAGGUGGUCUGAGAGGAUGGUCACCCACACUGGGACUGAGACACUGCCCAGACUCCUACGGGAGGCUGCAGUCGAGAAUCUUCCGCAAUGGGCGCAAGCCUGAACCGGAGCGAUGCCGCGUGAGGGAAGUAGGCCUUCGGGUCGUGAACCUCUGUCGACGGGGACGAACGCAAUGACGGUACCCGUCAAGAAAGCCACGGCUAACCACGUGCCAGCAGCCGC
Molecule: ribosomal RNA, 486 nt
Filed under: uncultured bacterium
Lineage: Bacteria
Description: bacterial SSU rRNA
Rfam family: Bacterial small subunit ribosomal RNA
Source: RNAcentral